UCCUGGUAACUACCUCAUCCGUGAGCAUCCCUGAUCUCCAGAGUAGGACCAACCUUGGAUAUAACGCAGGCGUCUUGAACCUAAUUUGUUCAAAAGUUAACCUGGGAUGCUCCCUCCGCUGUCCUGUGUUCCCACCUUAGUAAACAAACUUUCCUUUAGUUCACACAGUUUCUCUGCCAGUAUCCUAGCCAAUUAUGUCUAUUCUCAUAAGUCUCACAACCCACCAGGAAAUCCAGCCUGUUCACUAAAUUACUACCUCUUGCCAAAUUUACUGUCAUUGUCUAGGUACAAGUCACCCACACCUUUCUCUUCAGUGACCUAUAGCCGUGCCCUCCUGGCUGGUCAUUUCCCAGUCUCCUGUUCUAAACAGGGUUGUAUUCAAGCUUCGGGAAGGAAUGAUUACCAGAAAAUGAAAAUAUGAUCAUGCCCUUCCUUGGUCCAAUUCUUCUCAUUGUUUCCCGUAUAUUUACAAGAAAGUUCAAUGCUUUUCUGAUCAUCUGGAGAGUUCUAACUCGUUAAGGUUCUUGGUUAUGCCUUCUGCUUCAUCUCCUAGACUUUUUGGAAAUAGUGAAAAGAAAGGAAAGCAGAAAUCUUAAGCCUAGGUGAACUGUAGUCACCUUUUAACAGCAGGAAACUUAUACUGACCGAUCAUUGUUCAAAGGGAGCUAUGCAGUGAGGGUCAUCAAGCCAGAAGCAAUAGCUGCACGCAAUAUGGUUUCCUGGCUAACAAGGAUCAGUUCUGUAUUCUUGGCAGAAAGCCUUGGCCUCAUCCAGAUGUACACGGAGUGAUCAAGGAGAAGCAGAUAAACAUCUACCACCGCUGACUGAGGAAGAGAAUUGGUCUACCGCAUCUUGGCUUCGUUGCCUUCGUCUCUAGUAACGCAAACACUAGUGAGACUUUUCUUUCCCAUGAAGUAACUAAUUACUAGGCUUCAGUCACCUGAGUAUUUCCAAACAUUGCUGAAAAAGGAGAAGGAAUCUUCCAUAUUUAAAUCUACUUUGCUGCCUUGGGACAUGAAAUGCCUCUUCAUUUUCUCAGACUCUCCAGCUUCUAAUUCCCUUGCAAUAACCAACAAACUAAGGUAGCUGCAGUGUAUCAGACCCCAAGACACGCCGUGAACUGCAAACCCCAGAGGAAAGAUGCUGCGUGCUAAUGCGGACGUCUGCUGCGAGAUGGAGUCCAGAGAGAAUGGAUCCCAGCUGCUUGCGUUGGGUGCGUUCCCAUCUGCAUCCUCCGGAGAACGAAGGGGUGUAGCUUGUGCAAAGACGAGAUUCCAGAGGCGGUGCUCCUGUGCUUCUCCAGCGCUUGCCCUCCUCAUGUUGGCUCCUUCGCCAUAUACCAUAUAUAAAUAUGCUCAAUGAUUAUUCUUGAAUGCCGUUUGCUAUGUGCCACACUUCACACGAACGAUGUCAUUAACUUCUAGCCACAGUUCCUUGAGUGGCAUUACUAAAGUCAUUGUGCAGUGGUAGAAAUGGCUGGAGGCAUUAAAGAAACGCUUGCAAAGUUCUCCAGUCCUAGAGAUAGUUACGGAAUGGACAUUCAGCAAUCUGCAUCUAGGACGGACUGAUUCUUUGAGCAUUCUGAAAUGUCUCAUGUGCUUCGGUAAUCCUACAAUUGUUCAAACUGACCUCUUCCUUUGCCAGGACCCA
Molecule: long non-coding RNA, 1650 nt
Organism: Myodes glareolus (Bank vole)
Lineage: Eukaryota; Metazoa; Chordata; Mammalia; Rodentia; Cricetidae
Source: RefSeq, a predicted model, not a curated record